CAGCGGCCAGAAUGAGUCUUUUAAAAUUUAAGUCAGAUCAGCUCCAAGCCUUCCAAUGGAAGAAACGGGGAGAGGAGUUUGGAGGCUGUUGCUGUCACGCAGCUCAGUGAUGACUGGAAUUUGACUGAGGUGCUGCUGCAGGAUGGCUCCUAAGAAAUAAUAUCAGCCAGCACCUGCUGCAAAGGGGCAUCCCAGGAUGUGUGACUGAAUCCUGUGGCAACACUGCGAGGUUGGCAUCAUUACCCCCACACCCUCCCCAACCGAGGAAAGAGCUGGAACCUGGGGAGAUGAAUGACUUGAUGUCCCACAGCCAACUGGCCUGCAGGCCCAGGACAACUCAGCCCUGUCCCUCGUUGCAUGGUGUUUGGUGGAUGACUUGGCAUGAAGCAUCAUAUCUACAAGAAAAACAAGUCAAAGGCUGAUGCCUCUGAUGGGGAAAUCACCACUCUCUCAGUGGGCAGCCACAGGAAAUGGGUACCUGUCUAUACUGGGGCCACAGGAUUAUGGGGCAAUAUCCCACAUGCCAGAGCAUAACAUAGAGGCUCAUUAAGGACAGAUAUUUGGGAGUGUAUAUUUAUCAAAAAUUCAGAUGGGUGAAUGGCCAUCACAAAUGGGAGAGAGAACUGUUAGCCAACGGGUGACUCAGGGGCUGAGUGUGCACCCCUGUUAUGAAAACUGAUUGUUAAAAAAAAAAAAAAAGUUGUUUGCACUCAUCACAGAUAUCAACAUUUGAAGGCACUGGCUGAUUCCAACUUAUGGCAUAAAUGACUAUUCAAUCGCAAUUGGAAUAGCUUAGACAAAUUAUCUGUGAUUAAAGCAGGCCAAUUUCUCAAAAUAAAAGUCCAACCUGGAGCACAAAUGAGCCUAAGCGCUUGGUCCUUGGAAUAGUGACUUUUCUCUCUUGCAAAGCUUGGUCUCUAACCAAAUAAGUAUUUACCUAUACAUUUAGAGUUCAGAUCAAUAGGAGGAAGAUGAAAUAGCCAAGACUGCUUUUGUUGCACAUGACAAUGACAUAACUCAUCUUGUUUAAGAAUGAAAGGAGGCCGGGUGCGGUGGCUCACGCCUGCAAUCUAAACACUUUGGGAGGCUGAGGCAGGCGGAUCAUGAGGUCAGGAGAUCGAGACCUUCCUGGCUAACAUGGUGAAACCCCAUCUCUACUAAAAAUACAAAAAAUUAGCCCGGCGAGGUGGCAGACGCCUGUAGUCCCAGCUACUCGGGAGGCUGAGGCAGGAGAAUGGCGUGAACCUGAGAGGCGGAGCUUGCAGUGAGCCGAGAUCAUGCCACUGCACUCCAGCCUGGGCAACAGAGCGAGACUCCAACUCAAAAAAAAAAAAAAAAGAAUGAAAGGGAACUUAGCACUUGUAACUGAAGCAUCCAAGUUUACUGCUGACUUCAGGCAUGCUGGAUCCAGGCGGCGAGAAGCGUUAUCAAGAAUGUGUCAUUCUCUAUUUCUUGGCUCUGCUUUCCUCUAUAUUGCCAUUACUUUCAAGUAGGCUGUCUCCAUGUGAAUGGCAAAGCAAUCAUCUGUAGCUUCAGGCCUAGAUGGUCCCCACAACUGGUGGCUCCAAAAGAAACCAAAAGAAACACACACACACACACACACACACACAUACACACACACACACACACACACACACACACCCCUUUUUCCCAAUAGCUCUCACGAAAGUCCCAGGCAAGAAUCUCUCUGGCUAUACUUGGAACACAUACCCAACCCAGAACCCAUUCUCCUUGUUGGCCAUUUUGUGCAUAUCCAGGUGAUCACCAUGACCAGCCAUGCUGCCAUAAGGAUUCUUUUCAAGUCUCUUUAGGCAUCCACAUAAGGGGUACUGUGGAGUAUAGAGAUGACUAUUUCUUUGAAUACUGUGAUAGAUGCAAUAGUAGACUUGCAUUCAAGGUACCAUAGUACAGUAUAAGAAAAAAUAUAUAUGCCUUUGUAAACUGUGCUUACUCGCUCAGGAGCAGGGGGACGCCCCCUUCUUAAGGGAAGAGCCGGCAUCACACGCCCUCCCAGCUCAAGCUUCCCCUGCGACCUGCACGUGUGUGAAUUGGCAGGCCCCACUAAUAUUGGUAUUUCCCUCUCAUUCCUACUAUUACCCCUGCCAAGCUUGGGAUGGCAGAGUUGGAGUCAUAUCCAUUCUAGGAGCCUAAAGAUGUGACUCCUCUGCAUUGAUGAGAGACACGGAAGAGGGAAAAGCAAGGAAAGACUUUAGUGAGCUCUGAAGUCCCACCUGCCACUCCACUAAAUGCCAGAAUCAUCUGGCCUCACUUAGUGGGUGGAGCAAAUUCCUGCCCCCCAGGGCCUCCCUCCUGAACCUGCAAGGUUGGUGGGAGAGGGAGACCCUCCCCAAAAGAGGAAGCCUGUUGUGUUGAGAGUGAUUUCAGAGACCUCAGCCAGGAAAGGUAAAUCAAAAUAACCCUUACACUCCGCCUCCUUCUUCCUUUAGAGGGGAAUGUUUCCUGGCACGGGUGCUGCAGCUUAAUAAAUUGCAUGCAGUAGAUUUCAGGCCUUGAGAAAAUCUUAACACUAGCUAAUAUGACCAGCACUAACAAAAUUUCUUGGAGCUUAUAAUAACAAAAAAAGCUCAUUGACGGAUUCCCACUUUUAUUCCUGCCCCCCUUUUCCACUUAGCCUUAAAUUUUUUUUAAUAAGAAAUUUUUAUUAACAAAAACAACAACAAAAAAAAAACAGAGUGAAGCACUUCACAAGAUCUUGCCCAGUUUAUUUUUUUAAUCUGUAAUAAUGAGCAUAACAGUUCAGCAAUGGAAUACUCACUCCAACAAAAUCUCCAGAUCUUUACAUCCUGAGUCUGCGAGGGCUGGACACAUGCCCUUGCUAAUUAUCAACCUUCUGAAACAGCUCAAGACAUGGGAUUAAAAACUGCUGUGGAAUUUGAACUCACGGACAUUCAUCUGAGUCAGCUACUCUGAACUCGCAUCUACUAUAAGGACCUGAGCAUUUCCUUCUCCCGUUUCCUCAGGACCUGCUCGGGGGUGUUCAGGGGAAGGUUGUCACAAACAUACUUGCAAUAAAAAUAAUCAAACAAAUGGAGAGCAUGUCUAUUUCCGGAAUUAGAUUCUUUUGAUAGUGAAGGAAUCAAAUGGGAUAAGGGGCAGGGAGAAGUCAGGUAAGUCCAAUAUUACUAUGUCCACAUGCUUAAAUUUCACUCCUCGGGGGCUUAUUGUCCCUAACAAUGGCCCUUUUAGCUAUGGAAUACGGGGAAUGACUAACCUUUUUCUAGCCUGUCAGUGAGAACUACCACUAUAUAUUGGUAAGUAUUUCCGUACAAAAUUCACUUGGAAAGGAUAUUGUUUCAAGCCUGGACAAAGCUCAUAUUGUCAUGUUCCAGUUCCAGUUAUUUUAGGCAAGGAAGGGGAAUUUCCACUGCUCCCUACAAUCAGUUUUGAGCACUUAGCUCUGAGUAAUAACUUCCUUGUAAUCUGUCAGAGCC
RNAcentral lists this long non-coding RNA (3452 nucleotides) under Homo sapiens (human). RNAcentral describes it as "HSALNT0269110". The record is from RNAcentral. Lineage: Eukaryota; Metazoa; Chordata; Mammalia; Primates; Hominidae.